RNAcentral lists this ribosomal RNA (218 nucleotides) under uncultured bacterium. Its description in RNAcentral is "partial 16S ribosomal RNA". It matches the Rfam family "Bacterial small subunit ribosomal RNA", at positions 18 to 232 of the family's 1533-position model. The record is from RNAcentral.
CCUGGCUCAGAUUGAACGCUGGCGGUAUGCUUAACACAUGCAAGUCGAACGGCAGCAUUUUCUAGCUUGCUAGAGAGAUGGCGAGUGGCGAACGGGUGAGUAACGCGUAGGAAUAUGCCUUAAAGUGGGGGACAACUUGGGGAAACUCAAGCUAAUACCGCAUAAUUUCUUCGGAAAAAAGCUAGGGACCUUCGGGCCUGGCGCUUUAAGAUUAGCCU